UCUGUAGCAAUACAGGGAAAAGUCUAGCGGCGAACGGGUGCUUAACACGUGGGCAACCUGCCGAGAAGUGGGGGAUAGCUCGCCGAAAGGCGAAUUAAUACCGCAUGUGAUCAGAGUGGACAUCCACUCAAGAUUAAAGUCGGGGCAACCUGACGCUUCUUGAGGGGCCCGCGGCCUAUCAGCUAGUUGGUGAGGUAACGGCUCACCAAGGCUUUGACGGGUAGCUGGUCUGAGAGGACGACCAGCCACACUGGGACUGAGACACGGCCCAGACACCUACGGGUGGCAGCAGUCGAGAAUUUUUGACAAUGGGGGAAACCCUGAUCGAGCGACGCCGCGUGGAGGAUGAAGGUCUUCGGAUUGUAAACUCCUGUCAUUGGGGAACAAGGUGCAUACGUUAACUGCGUGUGCAUUGAUAGUACCCGAAGAGGAAGAGACGGCUAACUCUGUGCCAGCAGCCGCGGUAAUACAGAGGUCUCAAGCGUUGUUCGGAUUCAUUGGGCGUAAAGGGUGCGUAGGCGGCGCGGUAAGUCGGGUGUGAAAUCUCGGAGCUUAACUCCGAAACUGCAUUCGAUACUGCCGUGCUUGAGGACUGGAGAGGAGACUGGAAUUCUCGGUGUAGCA
Molecule: ribosomal RNA, 624 nt
Filed under: uncultured Verrucomicrobiota bacterium
Lineage: Bacteria; Pseudomonadati; Verrucomicrobiota
Description: bacterial SSU rRNA
Rfam family: Bacterial small subunit ribosomal RNA
Source: RNAcentral